RNAcentral lists this ribosomal RNA (402 nucleotides) under uncultured bacterium. RNAcentral describes it as "bacterial SSU rRNA". It matches the Rfam family "Bacterial small subunit ribosomal RNA", at positions 356 to 773 of the family's 1533-position model. The record is from RNAcentral.
GGGGAAUAUUGCACAAUGGGCGAAAGCCUGAUGCAGCAACGCCGCGUGAGCGAUGAAGGCCUUUGGGUCGUAAAGCUCUGUCCUUGGGGAAGAAAAAAAUGACGGUACCCUUGGAGGAAGCCCCGGCUAACUACGUGCCAGCAGCCGCGGUAAUACGUAGGGGGCAAGCGUUAUCCGGAAUUAUUGGGCGUAAAGAGUGCGUAGGUGGUCUUGUAAGCGCGGGGUGAAAGGCAAUAGCUUAACUAUUGUGAGCCCUGCGAACUGUGAGACUUGAGUGCAGGAGAGGAAAGCGGAAUUCCUAGUGUAGCGGUGAAAUGCGUAGAUAUUAGGAGGAACACCAGUGGCGAAGGCGGCUUUCUGGACUGUAACUGACACUGAGGCACGAAAGCGUGGGGAGCAAAC